RNAcentral lists this ribosomal RNA (477 nucleotides) under uncultured Planctomycetales bacterium. Its description in RNAcentral is "bacterial SSU rRNA". It matches the Rfam family "Bacterial small subunit ribosomal RNA", at positions 365 to 832 of the family's 1533-position model. Lineage: Bacteria; Pseudomonadati; Planctomycetota; Planctomycetia; Planctomycetales. The record is from RNAcentral.
UUCGCAAUGCCCGAAAGGGUGACGAAGCGACGCCGCGUGCGGGAAGAGGGCCUUCGGGUUGUAAACCGCUGUCGGGAGUUAAGAAAUGUAAGGAUGUUAAUAGCAUCUUUGCUUGACUAAGGCUCCGGAGGAAGCCACGGCUAACUCUGUGCCAGCAGCCGCGGUAAUACAGAGGCGGCAGGCGUUGUUCGGAAUUAUUGGGCGUAAAGAGCACGUAGGCGGCUAUGUAAGUCGGUUGUGAAAGCCUUCCGCUCAACGGGAGAACAGCAUCCGAUACUGCAUGGCUUGAGUGCGGGAGGGGAGAGUGGAACUUCUGGUGGAGCGGUGAAAUGCGUAGAUAUCAGAAGGAACGCCGGCGGCGAAAGCGGCUCUCUGGCCCAUAACUGACGCUGAGUGUGCGAAAGCUAGGGGAGCAAACGGGAUUAGAUACCCCGGUAGUCCUAGCCGUAAACGAUGGGCACUAAGUAGAGGGGUUUU